This 160-nucleotide non-coding RNA is filed under the name Hyphomicrobiales bacterium. RNAcentral's name for it is "6S RNA". It matches the Rfam family "6S / SsrS RNA". From Rfam's summary of the family: E. coli 6S RNA was the first non coding RNA to be sequenced, but its function was unknown until recently. Lineage: Bacteria; Pseudomonadati; Pseudomonadota; Alphaproteobacteria; Hyphomicrobiales. The record is from RNAcentral.
CAGAGGCUGCGCUUCUCGUGCAAGCUCGACAUAUCCGGGGCCUUAAUUAUCCUAAGGGAGCUGUCCCUGACCUGAUCCGUGGAUCGGGAUACACGGCACCCACCUACUAUGUAGGUUCCCAGGAUUGAUCAUCGCUUGUCACGGUCGACGCGGCUUCACC